Molecule: non-coding RNA, 82 nt
Organism: Lutzomyia longipalpis
Lineage: Eukaryota; Metazoa; Arthropoda; Insecta; Diptera; Psychodidae
Source: Rfam
GCAGUCGUGGCCGAGUGGUUAAGGCGUCUGAUUUAAGCUCAGAUUCGCUCUGCGAUCGUAGGUUCGAAUCCUGCCGACUGCG